Molecule: transfer RNA, 63 nt
Filed under: Dipodomys ordii (Ord's kangaroo rat)
Lineage: Eukaryota; Metazoa; Chordata; Mammalia; Rodentia; Heteromyidae
Rfam family: tRNA
About the family: Transfer RNA (tRNA) molecules are approximately 80 nucleotides in length. Their secondary structure includes four short double-helical elements and three loops (D, anti-codon, and T loops).
Source: Rfam by way of RNAcentral
GGGAAGGUGGCUCAGUGGUAGAGUGCUUGCCUUGCAUGCAUGAGGCCCUGAGUGCUCUUCCUC